Long non-coding RNA from Notothenia coriiceps (black rockcod), 271 nucleotides. RefSeq lists it as uncharacterized. The transcript is spliced from 3 exons. Lineage: Eukaryota; Metazoa; Chordata; Actinopteri; Perciformes; Nototheniidae. The record is from RefSeq and is a predicted model, not a curated record.
UGGAACUUCCGGUUGAACUGCCACGUAAUGCACGUAGCAGCUUACGUCACGUUAGCGUCCUGUCUCCAUAGCAACAUUGCGAUACGUCCGAGACACAGAAACGAACAGGUACCAUGUCCUCCCCCAGGCUUGGUGUGAUGAGAGACUCCAUGCUGACCAACCCGCUGCACAUCAAGGCCUCUCUGGGUCGGUCCGUCUCCAGAGGGUUUUCAGUUCCUGGUCCAGAUUUCACUUUUGGGAUGAGCAACGACUCAACUGACGGGGGCGUGGC